Molecule: long non-coding RNA, 2289 nt
Organism: Brassica napus (rape)
Lineage: Eukaryota; Viridiplantae; Streptophyta; Magnoliopsida; Brassicales; Brassicaceae
Exons: 8
Source: RefSeq, a predicted model, not a curated record
UGUAUUUUCUUAUUUCUCUUAUCCCUUUCAACUAAAUCGAGAGUAUUAUGUGGGUUCUAUGAUGAUUGGUGUGAGAUCUUUGAUUGUGACUGGGAUUUUCACGACAUGGGUUCGAUCAGGAAAUUAUGGAACGAAGGUUUGAAUGUUUGCCGUUUUCUUAUGGGGUUUACUCAAAAUUUCGAGGUACCUUUUUGGUCGGUUUGGAAUGAGGUACGAUUGAAGUUUCUCUGGAUCUAGAGGACGAGCUGAAAGGGAAGGAGGAAGAUUCAGCGGAUUCGAUAACGAUCUAUAAGACAGAGGAGCGAUCUCUGUGGAGGCACAAGAGGGAAGUAGAUUUUUUGUUGCGGAGGAUAUUUGCAAUCAUUUUCAUGGAAAGUUGGGGCAAACUAAGUUGACAAAAGCUAUUACAAGGUUUAUGUGUUUUUGCAGUUGCAGUGAGUAUAUAACAACGGGGAGAACGGGAAAAAAAAACUGAAAAGGUUUGUUUUCGAACAAGGUGGGUUUGCUCGUUAUGUUUGUGUUUCACUGGGUCUUGAACACUGAAGAGAAUAUUGAAGUACGAUGGUUUUAUAAGAUAGGUUUAUAUAGCUAGGACUAGGAGCCAAUGUACAAGUCUCGGCAUGAUGAGUUUGGUUACAUUCAGUGGGUCUGACAUUAAGGUUAUCUAUGCUUACUGGAAAAAGGCUUUAUCAAUGGACUAGGUUCUGGAUACAAUGGUAUAUGUUGCUGCACCUUAAAGGGAAUCCUGGGAUCAAAACUAUACUAAAAGGAGCAAAAGAAGCCUUCUUACGGCAUCCACGUCGGACAGGAAAUUCGACCAAUAGAGAUGAAGCAUUCUUCCACGUCAUUUAGUAAUGGCUUUGGGUUGGGCUUUUGUUCAGACAGGUUUGCUUUCGGUUGGGCUUAGUUUGUUUAGAAGCCAUCGUCAUCUUCGCUACCACUUCGUCUUCUUCCCUCCGAUCCCGUAGAAACCGAUCCCCCUCUACACAAUCAAUCCCAUCCUUUACUUCGAUCAAUCAAUUUUGUCUUGAUGAUUUCGUUUCAGCUCCCUCUGUUCCUCCUUCUUUAUAUACUGAUCCUCUUUUCUUUGUACAAACCCAAACCCUGUUUAUAUGAUCAUUUUUCACUGAUUUAAAUCUCAGCUUUCUGCCGGCAAAUGUCCCGUCGCCUUCCAUUUCAACGACGUCUCACCAGGACCUGCCGAGUCAGAGCUUCGAUUUUGGCUAAUCCAGUUGUGGGAUGGAUCCUUAGAACCAGGGGAGGGGGUCUAGGUUCCUGCUUUGAAAGAAUCGGUAUCUCUUUUGAUAUAUUUUUUGUUUUUUCAUUUACGAUUCUUAGGGCUUCUGUGACGGCCAGCGAUGGGAAAACAGAGAAAGAUGUUUCUGUAAAACGUUUUAAUAUAAAAUAUUAUAUUAUUAACUGGAUGAGCUCUUCACUCAGACCCAAUUCUACUCUGAAUUUCUUCUUGAGAAAAUGGAGGAUAUCACAAAAAAUGGGACAGAAGGUGAGACCCAAAAAGCUGAGCCCGAGAAGAAAGGAGGUCGUGGACGCAAAAGAAAUGAUGCUACUCAGGUAAGCCAGUGUGCUGUGGAGAUGAGAUGGGUUGAUACAUAUUUUCCAUUUACUGAGCUUUCGAGCUUGAGAUAUAUUUUUAAGGAAGACUGGUGAGAAGUUUCGGGCUGUGGGGUGACAGAACAAAGAAUUUUGAAGCAGAGUGGAUUAGAAAAUAAUGUUGCUUGGGACUUUGGACUUGGACUUAAUAGAAAGACUCAAAAAAGACCUGCAAUUACAUACCUUUGAACCCUCGCCGUUGCUACAAGUAUACUAAGAGGAGGCGUUGCAGGGCUUGAAUUUGACAACCAGGGAGUAUUCGUAGUCUGCCACAUGAUCAGGAUGCUUGACCGUUCAUGACUUUGACACUCAAUAUUACCGCAAUAAUGCCAAGGCAGUUGGAAUACCUGUUAAGGAGUUGAAAGUGUUCUCCAAGAUCUUUUAAAGGAGAUCACCAUGCUUUUAACCUUUAACAAACUUCAGUGAAAAUGAGCAGCUUUACAAGUGUGGGGAUACAAAGUCUGCAAGAGGUAUUAUGCCCUGCGAGAACUUAAGAAACUGAUUGAGGUGGCAGAGAAGCUCCGUGAGAAGAGGUGGCCUUGAAAAUUCGGUUUAGAUUAGUUUCUGGUUUAAAUUGAGUUAGAUUUUUUUUUUUAAUUUGGUUUAGUGUAAACAGAUUAUUUUGGUUUAGUUUGAUGUUUGUAAACUGAUUUUUAUUAAUAAAAUUUUUUAUUUAUA